This is a long non-coding RNA of Amphiprion ocellaris (clown anemonefish), 339 nucleotides long. The record is from Ensembl. NCBI's taxonomy places the organism in Eukaryota, Metazoa, Chordata, Actinopteri, Pomacentridae.
CUAUUUAAAGGGCAUCAGCCUAACUUUAUUUUAAGUGGACGAAGAAGGUAUAAAUAGACUUAGAGGAGCGCAACAAGCGAAUGCUUCAUAUGAAAUGGCUGGCGUUACAUCAUUGCCUGUGAGAGUGAAGUUCUGGAGAGGCACUGGGCUCUCUGGGCCAGCCAUUAUGCUAAGCAAAGCUGUCAACAGAGGCAGAGAAGCAGCUUUAAGUGGGAGACAGAAAAUGGAUGGAGGAAGAACAGGAGCGGGACAUGAAGAAGAGAAGGAAGGAAAGAACAUAGAAGUCAUUUAUGGAUGAUUUGCUGACUGAUGUGGUGGCUCAUGUCGAGAUCUGGGCAA